GCUGGGAUUCCUGGUGUGAGCCAUUGCACCCAUCCAGCAAACAGCAGAGCUUUAUGGAGUGGAAGACCCAGGAGUCUCAUUCUUCUGGCAUCCCUGAUGUCCUAUCAAGUGCUUAUUGGUGUAUUUGUCGUGUGUCAGCUUCCACCAGGAUGUCAGCAAAUUGAGGAAUCAAUGUCUGGUGCCCAUGAAGGAGAAGGAAAGAAGGGCAUCUCUCACCUGGAGAAGGAGUGAGUCUCCCAGAUGGCAGCAGGAGCCUGGCCCCCAUGGGAUGUGGCAGGCAGGAGGUCAUGGCUGGGCAAUGUCUUGGAGACCCUGCACUUGAUGGAUCAGCUGGCCCCACCCACAUCAAUAAACUGGCUCUUCUGCUCUUGGGCCCCCACCCAGGAACUGACAGCUUGCAUGAAGCCGGCUUUGACUCCCUACGAUUUCAUCCUUGACCAAUCAGCACUCCUGGCUCACUGGCUUUCCCCGACCCACCAAG
Saimiri boliviensis boliviensis (Bolivian squirrel monkey) is the source of this 481-nucleotide non-coding RNA. Lineage: Eukaryota; Metazoa; Chordata; Mammalia; Primates; Cebidae. The record is from RefSeq and is a predicted model, not a curated record.